Colias croceus (clouded yellow) is the source of this 587-nucleotide RNA transcript. RefSeq lists it as uncharacterized. The transcript is spliced from 2 exons. NCBI's taxonomy places the organism in Eukaryota, Metazoa, Arthropoda, Insecta, Lepidoptera, Pieridae. The record is from RefSeq and is a predicted model, not a curated record.
CGUAGGUACAAAGGAAUAAGUAAAAAAUACUUUGUAUACACGCUUGUAAACAACGCUAUCAAACGUACAUUUUCCUAUUAAGGCAAAAUAGAGCAAGGUCUUGCACUUAAAUUAUUAUCCUUUGAAUCUAUUUGUGCUGACAACUAAACGUAAAAAAUGGACACUGUUCCCAACUAGUUCUUAGAAGUGUUUUCCAAUAGAUAUCUUAUGUUGCGAUUAAUACAAAAUUUAAAAAAAGUUAAAAAUAUAAUAUAAUACGUAUUCACGUGAAUAGCUUCGCAAAUAGACAUUCAACUAUUAACUGCAGACUACCAUACGUAGGUCAUUCUCAUCACCGUAGCUACUUUGAUCGUAGCACAGAUUGGCAGUGCGAGCUGCGGCCGUCUUCGCAGAGACGAAGAGUCAAAAGGGGAUAAUGCUGGACAGUCAACCAACGCGGUCGCUGGAUCCGAUUCUUUCAUGAGCAACAUCGGCCAAAUCUUUGGAACCAUGCCUACCAAUCCCACAGAAUUUAUGUCGGCAUUUUCUAAUUUGUUUAAAAAUGUACCCCAGCAAUUGAAUAUGUCUUAAAUCGAUAUUGACAUACC